GAGUUUGAUCAUGGCUCAGAACGUACGCUGGCGGCACGCCUAACACAUGCAAGUCGAACGAAGUAGCAAUACUUAGUGGCAGACGGGUGAGUAACAUGUAGGUAUCUGCCCUUUGGCCUGGAAUAACACGAGGAAACUUGUGCUAAUACCGGAUAAGUCUUUACGGAGAAAGCUUUAUGCACCAUUGGAUGAGCCUGCACUUGAUUAGUCUGUUGGCGGGGUAAUGGCCUACCAAGACUGUGAUCAAUAGCUGAUUUGAGAGGAUGAUCAGCCACAUUGGGACUGAGACACGGCCCAAACUCCUACGGGAGGCAGCAGUGGGGAAUCUUGCACAAUGGAGGAAACUCUGAUGCAGCGAUGCCGCGUGAGUGAAGAGGGCCCUUGGGUUGUAAAGCUCUUUCGUCGGGGAAGAAAAUGACUGUACCCGAAUAAGAAGGUCCGGCUAACUUCGUGCCAGCAGCCGCGGUAAUACGAAGGGACCUAGCGUAGUUCGGAAUUACUGGGCUUAAAGAGUUCGUAGGUGGUUGAAAAAGUUAGUGGUGAAAUCCCAGAGCUUAACUCUGGAACUGCCAUUAAAACUUUUCAGCUAGAGUAUGAUAGAGGAAAGCAGAAUUUCUAGUGUAGAGGUGAAAUUCGUAGAUAUUAGAAAGAAUACCAAUUGCGAAGGCAGCUUUCUGGAUCAUUACUGACACUGAGGAACGAAAGCAUGGGUAGCGAAGAGGAUUAGAUACCCUCGUAGUCCAUGCCGUAAACGAUGUGUGUUAGACGUUGGAAAUUUAUUUUCAGUGUCGCAGCGAAAGCGAUAAACACACCGCCUGGGGAGUACGACCGCAAGGUUAAAACUCAAAUGAAUUGACGGGGACCCGCACAAGUAGUGGAGCAUGUGGUUUAAUUCGAAGAUACGCGCAGAACCUUACCAACACUUGACAUGUUCGUCGCGACUCUAAGAGAUUAGAGUUUUCGGUUCGGCCGGACGAAACACAGGUGCUGCAUGGCUGUCGUCAGCUCGUGUCGUGAGAUGUUGGGUUAAGUCCCGCAACGAGCGCAACCCUCACUUUUAGUUGCCAUCAUUAAGUUGGGCACUCUGAAAGAACUGCCAGUGAUAAGCUGGAGGAAGGUGGGGAUGACGUCAAGUCCUCAUGGCCCUUACGUGUUGGGCUACACACGUGCUACAAUGGUAUCUACAACAGGAAGCAAGACUGCGAAGUUAAGCAAAUCCCUAAAAGAUACCUCAGUUCGGAUUGCACUCUGCAACUCGAGUGCAUGAAGCUGGAAUUACUAGUAAUCGUGGAUCAGCGUGCCACGGUGAAUGCGUUCCCGGGUCUUGUACACACCGCCCGUCACACCAUGGGAGUUGGUUCUACCUUAAGGCAAGGUUUUAAACCCUUGACCACGGUAUAGUCAGCGACUGGGGUGAAGUCGUAACAAGGUAACC
This 1435-nucleotide ribosomal RNA is filed under the name uncultured marine bacterium. RNAcentral describes it as "bacterial SSU rRNA". It matches the Rfam family "Bacterial small subunit ribosomal RNA". The record is from RNAcentral.